UUAAAAGUUAAAUGGCCGCGGUAUACUGACCGUGCAAARGUAGCAUGAUCAUUAGUUUUUUAAUUGAAAGCUUGUAUGAAAGGUUAGAUGAGAAAAUAGCUGUCUCUAAUUAAGUUUACAGAAAUUUAUUUUUAAGUAAAAAAGCUUAAAUAUUUUUAGAAGACGAGAAGACCCUAUAGAGUUUGAUAAGUAUUUUUAUAAAUGAAAUUUAGGAUUUUAAGGUUUAUAUUGAUAUUUAUUUAGUUGGGGUGAUUAAAAAAUUUAAAAAACUUUUUUUUUAUGAAUCCAUUUAUUUAUGAAUAUUUGAUCCUUUAGUGAAGAAUAGAAGAUAAAAUUACCUUAGGGAUAACAGCGUAAUUUUUUUUGAGAGUUCUAAUCGAAAAAAAGGAUUGCGACCUCGAUGUUGGAUUAAAGGAAAUUAUUGGUGUAGUA
Molecule: ribosomal RNA, 432 nt
Filed under: Pteroporopterus cf. lacunosus MB-2015
Lineage: Eukaryota; Metazoa; Arthropoda; Insecta; Coleoptera; Curculionidae
Description: partial 16S ribosomal RNA
Source: RNAcentral